UGCUGAGAGACAGGAGCUUGUUUUAUUGC
Molecule: non-coding RNA, 29 nt
Filed under: Mus musculus (house mouse)
Lineage: Eukaryota; Metazoa; Chordata; Mammalia; Rodentia; Muridae
Source: RNAcentral